UUUUUUGCGAUGAGAUAGUAAGUACAACUGGAAAUCUUUUAACAGAGAGCUUCGACAGCUGAGAAGAAGCAAAGAGGAACAGUUAGAAAAUGGCUAUUGAGCAUUUCACCCCGAGCAAAAAUUGUGAGGCGGUGACGGUUGCGACCGAUAUCUUGCUAGAGUAUGUAUGUACUUGAAAAGGAGUUGAAUGUGAGUUCAACUCGAAGAUGAGGUGGUAACACGCAAAAGGCGUCCUCAAG
RNAcentral lists this non-coding RNA (239 nucleotides) under Enterococcus durans. RNAcentral describes it as "T-box sequence". It matches the Rfam family "T-box leader". Rfam says of the family: Uncharged tRNA acts as the effector for transcription antitermination of genes in the T-box leader family. T-boxes are found upstream of many aminoacyl-tRNA synthetase genes and some amino acid biosynthetic genes usually in Gram-positive bacteria. The record is from RNAcentral. Lineage: Bacteria; Bacillati; Bacillota; Bacilli; Lactobacillales; Enterococcaceae.